CAGCGUGCUCGUGCACGACCCUACUUUCCGCGCUCCAAAAGAUUACUUCAGGCACGAGCAUCACCCGUUCCAGGAGUGACAGCUAUUCUACAUUCUCUCACCAUUGGCGUCCUGCUGGUAGACUGGACUUGUCUCUUCACCCUGCACUACUUCGGGUUCUGCCCUCCCGUUUUCUAAUGCGGUCCACAAGGGCACCCAGUGCGCUCCUGUACGACUGUCUGCGCUUCAAUAUAUUACUUCGGGCACGAGCAUCCCCUGUGCCAGGAGCGACUGCUGUUCUGCAUUCUCUCGCCACUGGCGUCCUGCUGGUAGACUGGACUCGACCCCUCGCCCUCCAAUGCUUCUGGUUCUGCCCUCCCGUUUUCUAGUGCGGUGCACAAGGGCACCCAGUGCGCUCCUGUACGACUGUCUGCGCUUCAAUAUAUUACUUCGGGCACGAGCAUCCCCUGUGCUAGGAGCGACUGCUGUUCUGCAUUCUCUCGCCAGUGGCGUCCUGCUGGUAGACUGGACUCGUCCCUUCGCCCUCCAAUACUUCUGGUUCUGCCCUCCCGUUUUCUAAUGCGGUCAACAAGGGCACCCAGUGCGCUCCUGUACGACUGUCUGCGCUUCAAUAUAUUACUUCGGGCACGAGCAUCCCCUGUGCCAGGAGCGACUGCUGUUCUGCAUUCUCUCGCCAGUGGCGUCCUGAUGGUGGACUGGACUUAGCGUCGCGCCCUUGCAUUUGAUUCUGGUUCCCAGUGCAUGCUGUCGCUUGUGACGCAAGAGAAAUGUUCCAGCAAGCUCAUCUAUACGACUCCUGGCCUUACCUCAAGA
This 813-nucleotide long non-coding RNA is filed under the name Dermacentor andersoni. RNAcentral describes it as "uncharacterized LOC126527199". The record is from RNAcentral. Lineage: Eukaryota; Metazoa; Arthropoda; Arachnida; Ixodida; Ixodidae.